Molecule: ribosomal RNA, 1645 nt
Filed under: seawater metagenome
Description: bacterial LSU rRNA
Rfam family: Bacterial large subunit ribosomal RNA
Source: RNAcentral
GCUGACAUGAGUAACGAUAAUGCGGGUGAAAAACCCGCACGCCGGAAGACCAAGGUUUCCUGUCCCAUGCUAAUCAGGGCAGGGUAAGUCGGCCCCUAAGGCGAGGCAGAAAUGCGUAGUCGAUGGGAAACGGGUUAAUAUUCCCGUACUUAUAUAAUCAGUGAUGGAGGGACGGAGAAGGCUAAGCAAGCUUGGCGUUGGUUGUCCAAGUGAAAGUGCGUAGGGAGUGAGAUUAGGUAAAUCCGGUCACACAAUCCUGAGACACGAGACGAGCCACCAAGGUGGUGAAGUUGUUGAUGCCCUGCUUCCAGGAAAAUCUUCUAAACUUAUGAUUAUGUAAACCGUACCCCAAACCGACACAGGUGGUCAGGUAGAGAAUACUAAGGCGCUUGAGAGAACUCGGGUAAAGGAACUCGGCAAAAUUGUACCGUAACUUCGGGAGAAGGUACGCCCCUGAUGGUGAUGAGACUUGCUCUUUGAGCUGUCGGGGGCCGCAGUGACCAGGUGGCUGGGACUGUUUAUUAAAAACACAGCACUCUGCUAACUCGAAAGAGGACGUAUAGGGUGUGACACCUGCCCGGUGCCGGAAGGUUAAUUGAUGGGGUUAGCGUAAGCGAAGCUCUUGAUCGAAGCCCCGGUAAACGGCGGCCGUAACUAUAACGGUCCUAAGGUAGCGAAAUUCCUUGUCGGGUAAGUUCCGACCUGCACGAAUGGUGUAACCAUGGCCACGCUGUCUCUACCCGAGACUCAGUGAAAUUGAAAUCGCAGUGAAGAUGCUGUGUACCCGCACCUAGACGGAAAGACCCCGUGAACCUUUACUACAGCUUGGCACUGAACAUUGAACCUACUUGUGUAGGAUAGGUGGGAGGCUUCGAAGCAUAGACGCUAGUUUAUGUGGAGCCGUCCUUGAAAUACCACCCUGGUAUGUUUGAUGUUCUAACGUUGGUCCCUUAUCGGGAUUGCGGACAGUGUCUGGUGGGUAGUUUGACUGGGGCGGUCUCCUCCCAAAUAGUAACGGAGGAGCACGAAGGUUAGCUAAUCACGGUCGGACAUCGUGAGGUUAGUGCAAUGGCAUAAGCUAGCUUAACUGCGAGACAGACACGUCGAGCAGGUACGAAAGUAGGUCAUAGUGAUCCGGUGGUUCUGUAUGGAAGGGCCAUCGCUCAACGGAUAAAAGGUACUCCGGGGAUAACAGGCUGAUACCGCCCAAGAGUUCAUAUCGACGGCGGUGUUUGGCACCUCGAUGUCGGCUCAUCACAUCCUGGGGCUGAAGCCGGUCCCAAGGGUAUGGCUGUUCGCCAUUUAAAGUGGUACGCGAGCUGGGUUUAGAACGUCGUGAGACAGUUCGGUCCCUAUCUGCCGUGGACGUUGGAGAUUUGAGGAAAGCUGCUCCUAGUACGAGAGGACCGGAGUGGACGAACCGCUGGUGUUCGGGUUGUGUCGCCAGACGCAUUGCCCGGUAGCUAUGUUCGGAUAGGAUAACCGCUGAAAGCAUCUAAGCGGGAAGCCCCUUCCAAGAUGAGAUCUCCCUGGACCCUUGAGGUCCCUGAAGAGCCGUUCAAGACCAGGACGUUGAUAGGUCGGGUGUGUAAGCGCUGCGAGGCGUUGAGCUAACCGAUACUAAUUGCUCGUGAGGCUUGACUAU